This 777-nucleotide ribosomal RNA is filed under the name uncultured Neocallimastigales. RNAcentral's name for it is "partial large subunit ribosomal RNA". It matches the Rfam family "Eukaryotic large subunit ribosomal RNA", at positions 24 to 634 of the family's 3401-position model. The record is from RNAcentral. Lineage: Eukaryota; Fungi; Neocallimastigomycota; Neocallimastigomycetes; Neocallimastigales.
UAUGUGAUCGUCUCUCGCAUAUCAAUAAGCGGAGGAAAAGAAACUAACAAGGAUUCCCCUAGUAACGGCGAGUGAAGCGGGAAGAGCUCAAAUUUGAAAUCUUAAAGGGUUUCCCUUUACGAAUUGUAGUUUAAAGAAGUGUUUUCUGUUGAGGUUUUGGUAAAAGUUCUUUGGAAUAGGACAUCAUAGAUAGGGUGAGAAUCCCGUAUUUGACCUUUACUUUCAACUUUGUGAUACACUUUCAAAGAGUCGGAUUGUUUGGGAAUGCAGUCCAAAAUGGGUGGUAAAUUUCAUCUAAAGCUAAAUAUUGGCGAAGAGACCGAUAGCGAACAAGUACCGUGAGGGAAAGAUGAAAAGAACUUUGAAAAGAGAGUUAAACAGUACGUGAAAUUGUCAAAAGGGAAGCGUUUGACACCAGUGUUGUUUUUCUGAAAAUCAAUUAAAGAACUGUUUAUGCUAAGUUGUUUAGACUUUAUCAGCUAACUGUUUGGUUUUGAGCUUUUCUUUAAUGCACUUUUCAGUUAACAAGUCAACAUCAAUUUCUUUUGCUGUAAAAAAGCUUGAGGAAGGUGGCUUGAGAUUCGUCUUAAGUGUUUAUAGCCUCUUGCCUAUGCAGUCGGAGAGAUUGAGGUCUGCAGCGUAGAUCCUUCGGGGCUAAAUGCAUUUGUGCUAAGUUAUAGCAUUUUAUAGACAACUUGUUGACUAUGAUUUGUCUUGUAGCUUACUCGCUUAUGUUAUUUUACCUACGCUUAGGAUGUUGAACGCGCACAGAGUCUC